UCAGUUUGAUAAACGUCAGAUCCGUGCUUUGUUUACUUUACAUCCCAUGUUCCCAUAAAUUUGAAGCAAAUCAACUCAGUGCCGUCGUUAUGUUUCGAGCAGUGUAGACACUCUGAAAGUGCUCAAGGGGCAGACACUUGGAUAUCUUAUUUAUAUGGAACUGGGAUCCCAGUGUCCGAGUGGGUGCGGCAGACGGUCAUCACCCAACGACGGUUCGGCAGAUAGCUGCCAUUUCUGAGAGAGAGAGAGAGAGAGAGAGAGAGAGAGAGAGAGAGAGAGAGAGAGAGAGAGAGAGAGAGAGAGAGAGAGAGAGAGAGAGAGAGAGAGAGAGAGAGAGAGAGAGAGAGAGAGACGCUUUCGGCGACAAAGGCCGACCGGAAGACGACAGCAACGAAGGACGUUUUGGACACCGCCAGAGGGCCGAGGGUCAGGCGAGUGUCAUCUCAUUGUGUACACACCGGUCUUACUGACAAUAACGUAGUGACGUCACCAUCUAUGUAAAGAAUGAGUGUCAUCUGUGCCGGGGUGGGAAGGACGUAUUGGACGCCACCAAAGAGUCCAGGACUAGGCGUGAGAGUUUGAUGAUUUGUUGUCGGAUGUGACAUUUUAGUCGGCCAGUGUCUUCGUGAUUGUUUGUUUUUAUUGGUACAAUUUUAUCUGGAAGUCAUUAGAAUAAACUAAUAUGCAUGCGGUUUAUACUAACAUUACUGGUUUAGUAAAUGUAGCACAUAUUAAGACAUACAAUUAAUAAAAAUAGUUACAAAUUC
Molecule: long non-coding RNA, 767 nt
Organism: Dreissena polymorpha
Lineage: Eukaryota; Metazoa; Mollusca; Bivalvia; Myida; Dreissenidae
Exons: 2
Source: RefSeq, a predicted model, not a curated record